GAAGUGAACAAAGGAAGGCAGACACUCGCCAGGUGCGGAUCGCUCUGCGGCAAGGAAACUACGGACGUGGGCGAAGAAUCGCACAUCGUUGAAAAACGAAACCCCCCAAACCAAGACGAGUGAGGCCUCGUGAAGCGGCAUUCAAGCUCUCUCCCACUAUCCGAGCACACACACACACAGACGCACAAACUUUAUAGGCCCCCGUCUCUGUGCCUUGGCCACCUUCUCCCUCUCUCUAGUCGUAGAUCUACACCAACCACUGCUUCUUCGCUUUACCCCCUUUCUCUCUCUUCGAGCGGGCCGUCCUCGUUACUUUUUAGUGCCCAGAGCACAGCGACCAAAGUGACCGGGAGAGCACCAACAGUCGACGGUUUAUACGCAUUUAAGCAGACCCACCGACAUAGCUCAGCAGUGUCACAUGCACAGCUGCUAACGCGACGCACGAGUGGCGGCAUUCGAUUGUGCAUUCAAAGCCGUUUCUGUGUCUGCUCUCUUCCUCCCCCACGUUAUUAUUGGCUGCGUCCUGCCGCCAUCCGUGCGCUGCACCGCGCAACCGCUGCGGCACUCGUGUGCCUCACCCUUCGCUCCCCCUCGCCUUCACCUAACGCUGGGCAGCGUUUCUUAGGAAGCUAGCAGUGCUUGGUGGUUGUGGUGGUGUGCGUGCGUGCGUGUAUUGCUCUCCACCUCUUUCCGUUCUACCUUUUUUCUUUUUCGUUUGUGAGGGUGAGGUGUUGGCUUUGCAGGCGCCUCCUUUCUUUGCGUCUCUUCUCUUGCGUGCUCGCCCUAAUCUUCUUCCCUGUGCCUGAUUGUGGCCACUCCUCGUUUUUUUUGUUGAGUCGUUGUGAGACCGUAGGUUAGUCGCUGCAUCGUACAUGUGCAUCUUGCGCCGUGGUCUCUGGCGGACGUUUUCGGUUUAAACGGUAAUAGGGUGACCGUGGCUACGUGCCCUUGUUGUUGUUUGGCUUCUUUUCGGUCUGGUUUUGUAUGAGUGUGCGUGUGUCACCUCUCCUCUUUCUUUUUUGCGACGCGCGCUCACACACACACACACACCUGCAGCACUACGUCUUCCCUUUUGACUCUUCCUCAUUCCCUCUCCUUCCAUCUCUUCUUUACUCACGUCUUUUCAUCUCCGUAUUACACCCCCUCGCCUCUCCUGACCUUCUCGCCGACGCUGGCCAAUCGUUGUUCUCUCUAUCUUUUUUUUUGUUCGCGUUACUGUGGCGGCUCACUGCUUUGCCUCCUCCUCACUGCUGUUUGCUCGCUUCUUCUCUUAGGUUUCUCUCCUUCCUCUCUCCCCAACACACAGACACACCUUUCUCUCUUUUCACAUCCCUUCGCUGCUUUGGCGUGUUGCCGUCGCCGUUUUGUUGCGCACUCGCUCUUCCCCUUCCCACCCCCCAAAACGUAUUUGCCACUCCACGCCGUCUUGCAGCCGUGUGCUUUUCCCUUUGUAAACCUUUCUCUUCGCGCCUCCUCUCGCUCUCUCCCGUGCCUUUGUGUGUGUGCGUGUGCGCCGUGCUUGACUGCUCACUGCGCUCACUACACACCGCCCCUCACGCCAGCACCCACCCCCCGCACGUUCAUUUUUGCCACCCUGCGUUUUCUGCGUCUGUUAUUCAGGGGCUGGGGGGGAUUCGGCGAUAAAAGCGAACGUAUGCGCAUGCACAUUCACGCAGGCGCUCAGGGUAUCCAGAUCGAUUUAAUUUUCUACGGAUUGGAUAUCAGGAAGGACGUGGCAUGUACACUGGCGUCUUUAGCAUGUUUGCCGCGUGGGCCGCUGCUGGGGCACACCGCGGAAACUGGCGAACACGCGUGGCGAACUCGUGGGUAGCUGCGCCGUCUAAUGACCUACGCACACCGUCGUCCGUGUGCCUGAUCUCUUAUUCCCAGGCAGAACGUACCACAAGCACUGAUAUAGGCCGACGAGGUGGCGCUGUGCUUGGUGCCACCGCGCCAGAUAUCGAAGGGCCGCGAUACCGACAACGGAGCCUCUCAGUGCAAAGGCUUCUGUCGCCCACCGAGGCGCCGUCUCCGCUGAGAGUGAAGACGACACUCACGGAACAGCGCAUGACUGCAGUAAUAUCGUCGGUGGCAGCGACCGCCGCGGCCGCGUCGCUCGCGACUCGUAUGCGCGUUUGCGCGGCCUUGGACGCGGCAGCUAAAUCCGACGAGAUGCCUGCUGACACAGGCACGGCUCCAUCCUUCGAUUGCGCUUCACAGCACACAAAAGACGGUGCUCCUGCCGCUGCGUCACCCGAUGACAGCGCUGCGUUCACUGAGAUGGCCGGGCAAAAACAAAGUUCACCUGCCGCUGACCACACAUGCGACAGCCCCCCCUUGCCGCCAUCAGGCACUGAGCCACUGGCUGCCACGCCACCAGCGCCGGUCUUCUCCUUCCACGGCAAUCCGCAAGAGUUGCAGGACCGCCUUCGGGGUGCCAAAGCCUUGGUGUUUUUCUACAAGGCAUCAUGCGCCCCAUGCGCCGUGAUUCGGUCAAAGCUGCUUCACGCGGUGGCGGGAGCUGGUGGCGGUGGCAGCGGUGCCACAGCCGCUCCACCGACCUCCACGGAGCACGCUACAGAGGCUGCAGGGGUCGAUGGCUUGCCAUCGCCUUUGCUUGAUCACCUGCAGCAAAACCAGCGCGAACCAGACAGCCCCACAGGUGUGUCAGCUGCCGCGCCAAUCGCCGCUUACGCAGAGGCCAAGGAUACGAAGGCUGCUGGAGCAACCACUGCCUCCCUUCCUGCCACAACCAUGACGCUAGAAGAUCAAAAAUCCUGCGACGUUGCCUGCCGCUUCCUCGGGGACGCGACCAAGUCGUUCGCGCACUCUGUAAUCCUAAUCACGGUGGACACGAACGCGAAUGCGGAGGUGACUGCCUUGCACGACAUCCGCAGUCUCCCAACAUUCAUGGCGUACCGCAACGGCUGUAUUGUAGGCCGCUUUGAAGGUUCUCAGGAAGACGAGAUCAAUAAGCUGGUGGACCUCCUCGCAGAGAACUCGACGGAGAGAAGUCCCACCACCGACAACAGGACGCCCUCCCCGCUGCCGCAACAAGAGGGCGCAACCUCGAUACGUGUGUCAGGCGACUAACAUGGGGGUCACCUGUGACUCCGUUUCUCUUUUGAAUCUCCUUUUUUCAAAAGACGCGCCAGCCAGCGAAGGAACGCACAAGACACGACCGAAGAGUGCGAUGAAAUGGGAGCAACGAAGCAUACGCUAGCCAUGGCGCGCCUUACUCAGGUUUUUCUCCACAUAUAUAUAUAUAUAUAUAUAUUGCUUCUUUGAUGGCGGCUCAAGCUCGUGUCUGUCCUUGUAGUUUUUUUUUUUUUGCUCCCCGAUCGGGUGUGUCUGCGAGUGUGUGCUACUAGGCGUGUGCCGUCUUGUGCUUUUCCGUGAACCUUGACUGUGCAGGACCGUCUUUGUGUCUCCUCCGCGCACUCGGUCUUUCUGCUGUUCAGUGAGGGGUGGCGUGCCGGCUGCGGUGGCGCACACGCCGCCGAGCACUCUCGCUCGCGCUCUCUGCCAGAGGAUUCCCCACAAAAGCUUCAAAGCCACGCUCUGGCGGAGGGCGAAAAACGCCGAGCAGGAGAGAGACUGAAGGUACAGAGAAGCGUGUCUCAGUGUACGGCUGUGCUGAACAACAAUGUCGACGCACACCGCCACAGACGCGCCCAAGACACGGAGCCGAAACAGCAGGCGGCAGGGCACACAACUCUGCUGUACUCGCAACGCCUCGGCUGCCCUUUUCGACAGGGAAC
RNAcentral lists this unclassified non-coding RNA (3761 nucleotides) under Leishmania donovani. RNAcentral describes it as "gene:LdHU3.29.2570(CDS-product:Thioredoxin_putati ve)". The record is from RNAcentral. Lineage: Eukaryota; Euglenozoa; Kinetoplastea; Trypanosomatida; Trypanosomatidae.